CGGACGGGUGAGUAACGCGUGGACAACCUACCCCGCACUGGGGGACAACAGCCGGAAACGGCUGCUAAUACCGCAUAUGCGCACGGCCCCGCAUGGGGCCGCGCGGAAAGCGCAUGCGGUGCGGGAUGGGUCCGCGUCUGAUUAGCUUGUUGGCGGGGUAACGGCCCACCAAGGCGACGAUCAGUAGCCGGCCUGAGAGGGUGGACGGCCACAUUGGGACUGAGACACGGCCCAGACUCCUACGGGAGGCAGCAG
Molecule: ribosomal RNA, 255 nt
Filed under: uncultured bacterium
Lineage: Bacteria
Description: partial 16S ribosomal RNA
Rfam family: Bacterial small subunit ribosomal RNA
Source: RNAcentral